Molecule: long non-coding RNA, 7997 nt
Filed under: Triticum aestivum (bread wheat)
Lineage: Eukaryota; Viridiplantae; Streptophyta; Magnoliopsida; Poales; Poaceae
Description: long non-coding RNA (TAES_LNC023669)
Source: RNAcentral
UCACAACACAACUUUAGACACAAAUUAAAAUAAUACAAGCUUUAUAUUACAAGCCAGGGGCCUCGAGGGCUCGAAUACAUAAGCUCGAUUACACAAGAGUCAGCGGAAGCAACAAUAUCUGAGUACAGACAUAGGUUAGACAAGUUUGCCUUAAGAAGGCUAGCACAAAAACAACGUCGAUCGAAAAGGCAAGGCCUCCUGCCUGGGAGCCUCCUAACUACUCCUGGUCGUCGACGGUCUCCACGUAGUAGUAGGCAUCGGCGGUGGCAUCUGGCUCCUGGGCUCCGACAUCUGGUUGCAUCAACCGGAAAGAAGAAGAAAGGGGGAAAGAGGGAGCAAAGCAACCGUAAGUACUCAUCCAAAGUACUCGCAAGCAAGGAUCUACACUACAUAUGCAUCGGUAUCAAUGAAAUGGGUUGUAUCUGUGGACUGGACUACAGAAUGCCAGAAGAGAACGGGAAAGCCUAGCCUAUCGAAGACUAGCAUCUUCAAGCAGCUCCAAGCAUCUUGCAGCAUCAGAAGAGAUAAGAGUAGCAUAAAGUAAAGUAGUAGAAGUGUUAUCAACCUCGGCCAGAGAUCCUUUCUCGACUCCCUGCGAGAAAGCAAUCCCAGAGCCAUACUAUCUAGUUCUCAUCAUAAUCCAAUUCUCAUCACAAGUAUCCAGUUCUAGUUGUAUCGAUCGGGAUACAACUCCAAGUGUCUGUUACCGUAGGACAGGCUAUCGACAGAUGUUUUCUUCCCUGCAGGGGUGCACCAACUUACCCACCACGCUCGAUUAACUCCGGCCGGACACACUUUCCUGGGUCAUGCCCGGCCUCGGCCAAACAAUACGCCGCAACCCGACCUAGGCUUAAUAGAGAGGUCAGCACGCCGGACUAAACCUAUGCCCCCAGGGGUCAUGGGCCAUCUCUCCGGGAACUCCUGCACGUUGCGAACGCGGCCGGUGAGCAGACCUAGCUACCUCCUUAAAAAGGCAGGUGCUUACCAGUCCAACCCGGCGUGCGCCGCUCAGUCGCUGACGUCUAUUAAGCUUCAGCUAAUGCAUACGACGCAGAACGCCCAUACUAUGCCCACGUGAUGGUUAGUGCCAUCAGGCCAGAGGCCCCUUGGAUCAAAUAUCCAAAUCGUAGUGGAUUAGGAACGCGCGGUAACAAGCAGAGACUCACGAAAGAUGUGACCCCGUCGCCCGUCUCGAGGACUUGCGGCAAGGGCUAGGAAUGCCCGGCCACGCCUCGUAAUUAUCUCGUGGGCACCCUCCAGGUCAACCCGUCUCCACAUCACUCGCGGGUACCCCUCAGGGUCGACCCGCCUUUCCAAGUAACAGUGGUAAAGUCCAAGUAUCCGUGUGUCCAAACAUCAAGGGGAAAACCCGAGGAAUCACCCCCGGUGAAUUCCACUCGAUGUAAUCAUCAAGGUGAACGUAAGAGGAAUCACCCCUGAGGUUCACACUUGAGGGGUUGCACGACAGAGUCGUAUCGGAAGUGGUUAAGGCGGAAUCACCCUCGAUGACCAUGACCGAACAGCUACACUACAGGGUUAACAUCAGAAAUGCUGUAGAGGUCUCACCCUCGGCACUCGAUAGUAACCCAGCAGUGUCGAGCAACUAAGGGGAAAGUGAUGUGCGGUGCCGGGGCCUGGUCUUCGAUCCCGUUGAUCGGGUCUUCGAACAUAAAGCAGGGCAACUGGGACAAGGUGGGGGUCACUGAUGGAUCACUAACCAACCUAUACUAAGCAGUUUAGGAUAAGCAGGUAAGGUACAAUGAGCAGGUUACAAAAGCAGGCUAUGCAUCAGAAUAGGAGCAAACAAUAGCAAUAGCAAAAUCUAAUGCAAACAUGAGAGAAUGGAAUGGGCGAUAUCGGGAUGAUCAAAGGGGGGCUUGCCUGGAAGCUCUGCUGAAAGGGGAGAAGGAUCGUCGUCGACGUAGUUGAUCACAAUGGCAUCAUCAGCGGUCUCGGGGUCUACCGGAGAGAAGAGGGGGAAGAAACAAUAAAUAUAAAGCAAACAAAGCAUCAUAAAGCAUAACAUGGCAAUACGCGGUGCUAGGGGUGAACUAACGCGGUACUACACGUUGCAGACGGAGGGGAUAAACAUCCGAGGAUGAAUUCCCGACGUUAGGCGGAUUCCGGAGAGAGGAAAAGAGGGGGAAAAUUCCAUGUUCAACAUGCUAGGGGCAUGUGACAGAUGAACGGACCGCGUAUUCGGAUUCGUUGGAUUUUUUGAGCAACUUUCAUGUAGUAAACAUUUUCAUCGGAGUUACAAAUUAUUUUCUAAUAAUUUUCAAAGUUUUAUUGAUUUUUAAAAUUUUCUUUAUCUAGUUAAUUCAAACAUUAAAUAUGUCAGAUUACUUUUUAUACCCACUAGCGGUUAGCCUAAGUGUAUGACAGUGGGGUCCAGUCAAACAGUUGACCAGUCAAACUUUGACUGGUUAACAGGGUCAAUGGACCCACAUGUCAUAGACUAAAAUUUUAACAGAUUUGCUUGUUUAGUUUAAUUUAGCAGUGAUCCAUUGACAUAGACUAUUUACCUAAUUAGAUAAAUAAAGCAAUACUAGUUAGAGGGGAGGCCACAUGUCUUAGGAUAGCAAUUGAUUUAAGUAAUAGUACUGAUUAGCCUAACUAGCAACAAAAUUAGCCGUAACUAAUUCUUGGGCCGGCCACCCACACACACAGAACACACACGCCACACACACCACACAACACACACUCAGCCAUGGCCAUGGCCAUGGCCGAUAGCAGCAGCAGGCAGCACUAAGCGCAUUAGCAAUUGGCAACGGGCAGGAGCUAUCAGCAGCAGUACGCAGCGCUAGCAGCGGCAACAGAAGCGGCGCAGUACCACACAGAGAUAGUAGAGACAGUAGCGACAGUAGUCAACAGCAGCGGCAUGUAGUAGCAGAAAGCAGUCACCUAAGAGCACAACAGGCACGACAACAAGCAGCGCCGAGCGCGUUGUCGCGUCCAUGGACAUCGCCGGCUAGCAACGGCGGACACAACCAGGAUGCGGCCAGACGGCAGCGGCGCACGGGGAGCAGUGGUAGCAGCAGGCAGUAGCACAAGCAGUGGCAGGGGAAGGCAGCAGCAUGCGAUAGCAGAAGCAAGGCAGGCAACGGCGAGCGGGGGCGACGCAACUGGGCGAGGCCAGAGGCGAGCGCGGCCCCGGGGCAGGCAGAGCGCAGCAGGUGAUGUGACCAGCGUGCGGGAGCGAAGCUCCGGGCGCGGGUAUGGCAGGCUUCGGCCACGGCGGGCGCGAACUCACGAGGUGACACUACGGCGACGGAUCGACGGGGUAAACGAGGGGAAUCAGUCGAGGAGCUCACCACAGAGGCACACGGAGGCCGUUGGGAGGCUUAGGAGCUGCAGGCUUCGUCGGAAUCGACGACGACGCCGGCGACCGAAGAGGAAGAAGACGACGGCGAUCUCGUGAUGCAGAGAUGAGGAGCUCCAACGCGCGGCACCAACCGAUGGAGAGGGCGACGGUGGACCUCGUAGAUGUGUCGACGAGGUGCGGGGGCGGCGGUGGUCGCGGCGGGGCGAAGUGGCCGGCGACGAGCGCGUCGUGGAGGUGGAGGGAAAGGGGAUCUGGGGAGAGCCCAGAGGGGAGUGGGGCGACAGAGGAGCGAGGUGAGUGGAGGCGGGGAUCGAGGAGGCGGGGAGGCGCGGGGGCCUUAUCCGCCAUUGUCGGCGGCGAGGUGGUGCGGCUGGGCGCACUCGGCCUUGCCCCGGUCGGCUAUACAGGGAAGGCGACCGGGGAGGCAGGCUGGCUCGGGUGAGGUUAGGUGGGCCGGUUGGGCCGACCCAAGUAGGUUAGGUCCAGGGGCAAGGGCCUCCUUUCCUUUUAAAAAAACUUCUCUGCUUUCUUUUAUUUCAAAAAGCAAAACAGUUAUAUAAUUUAUAAAACUUACACCUAAAAUAUUAGUAUAACUCAGGCUACUGCCACAUUAAGUCUAACAUUAUAAUAAACUAGUUUAGCAUUUUCUUAACUCAAAAAGCAUUUAAUUUAAUUAUUUUUAGCCACUGUUAUAUACACAAAAGGGCAUUUAAAAUACUUUACAAAAGUGUUGGGUCACCACCAUAAUUAGUUAUGGAAUAUUUGCCACACUUUGAACAUUUUACUUUGCAUGUUUGAGAAAUUUAAAUUUUGGGCUUUAAUUUGAAUUUGAGUUUGAACUAAGAUUCGGAUCAAGCGAGGAUUAGCAACUGUAAUGUGAUGACAUGGCAUCAUUAGCGGGGGAUUACUGUAGCUUAAUUAUCCAGGCGUCACAAUUCUCCUCCACUACAAGAAAUCUCGUCCCAAGAUUUAAGGGGUGUAGUAGGGGGAAAGGCUCGGAAAGGACGGAGCUCAACACAAGAUAGGUAACUGGGGGCUAUCUCUCGAGUUGAAUUUCAAGAAAGUCAUUGAGAGCAAGAUAAGAAGGUGCAAUAAGAAGCUUCAAGUGGGUAGGCAAUUGUUCGUUGCCUGAAACAAAGGGGUAAAGGGGUUCAGAGCAAUGGGAAUAAAUAUUACGCCUGAUACUAGAAUAGAUCACUAGGAAUGUGGCUCGUGAUUUACAUACGAAGCCAAGUGCAAGAAAUAAUUUUGGAAAACAGGGAUGUAUAGGAGAGUUAGGUUUCGAUCCUGUGGAACUAUGGGUUAUGGGCCCACCAUGUGGGUUAACACCAGGAAGGCGCUAAUCAUUUUGCACGGUCAUGAUAGCAAGGCAGGUCAGAGGAUAGCCUGUCAAUUAUGUUGGCAACAACAUUGGUACCAAGGGCGAGGGAUGAAGAGAACCAUUUUCCUGCUCGUUGAAACGAGGCGGACCAAUAGGCAAAGUUCUCGUCCAUCGGUGGUUACCAAAAUGUCAUCAACAAUAGUAACAGGGUCUUACUGAAAAAUUAUACACCAAGGUGUUUACAUAAGUAGGGAACUAUUACUGCUUAGAUCAUAUAGAUCACAAGAAAGGUUAAACAAAACAAUGGAAAGGAAAAUGUGGUUAUUAGUUUAACCAGACCAAUGGCAAGGAAAAGGUGCUUAUACAAAAGCAUUAGAGUAUAUGCUUCCCAAGAACAAACAGAGCAUGAUAUACAUGACAGGACAUCAAGUACUUAUCCAUUUAGUUAAUGGGGCAAGGAGAAUCAUGAUGUUUACCCAUACAGCGGUGUUUGGUUAAUUGAUGAAGAAACAUUUAGCAUUGCGCCUCCAAUGUUCUUAACGAUGUUCGGAGUAACACAGUCAUACUUUUGGAUGGCAUUGACAUGGUCAUCAGGUAAAGGACGGACCUUGGGAACACAAAGGAUCCAUCGGGAAUUACUUGAACACCUCAUGCAAUUUUAUCAGGGAAGACGAGGAGGUGGCCGAUGGAUUCAACAAAAAUCCAUCGACAUGUCAAAAAGGAUAUAUUUCCAUAAUUUAUAUGAACAAAUUUGUGUUGGGGGGAAGGGAAAAAUGUUGUCAAUGAUAACCCAAAUCAUCGAGGGGCAAGGGUGGUAUUUCUCAUCAUGAAUUCAAAUAAUAUCCUGGAAGAGCUCAGAAUGUUGAUGAUGAUCACGACACAUUUGCCGAGAGAUUUCAUGAAGAUGUAAUCGAUCGGCGAUGACAUCAAGUCAACAAAAUGGUGAAGCGAAAGGUUAUUGGAACCACGGGUACGACACAAACUCGAAAUCGAACUUGCUGUUCAAGGUGAAAUUAUAUGACGAGGAAGAUCCAUGUAAGCUUAGCUCAUCAUCGAAAAUUAUGCUUCGGGAAGAAGGACCAGGUAGCACAGUUAAAAUUUAGCACGAUAAUAAUAUAGCCGAUCAGGCUAGGGAUGACUUGAAGGAUUAAUAAACUCAUAAGUAAUGAAAAUGACUUAGAGUUAUUGAAUCGGAGUGCGAGGAAUCGAUUCACUUAUCGGUGUUCUUGAGUGGCUAAUAACGCAGAACCCGGGGGAAAUCUAAAAUCGAUGAGAAGCAAUACUAGCAGAUGAAGACUCAUAGGAAGCAACACAGUUCUUUGAUAUUCUCGAGAUACCGAAGGGUAAUACUUGAAGGAAGAUCAAAAUAGAGGUUGUGGAGUUGCAUUGAUCUGCAGAAGACAAGUGUGUGAACUUGUCCGAGAAAUGGAAUCAAAGGGGAACAAUCAUGGUUAGAACCACGGUUGCAAAGUACCAAACAUAGAUACCAGAUGAACUUAUAACAAGGGGAUUAUUAUUAUCACAAGAAGCUUCCAUGAUAAGUGCCACAUCGGGUCCAUGGGCAUGAACACAAAGUUCAAGGUCGACUCCCAGUUCAUCAAUGCAUAACCUUUCAUUCACUCCUCGUUUUCAAAGAAAUUGUAGUGCUGAAGAUUUAUCUAGUGAAGCACCAGAAGAGUAUGACUCGCAUAACUUUCGAGUUCACACGAAUUAGGAAAAGCAUAGGUUCAACCCAUCGGGACAUUUUUACGAAGCUAUACAACACAAUAACAGGAGCGACAGGUACACGCUCGAAAGCAAAGGGCUGGCAAUACGGAGUAGAUGAUACAAUUCGCCAGAGGCAUUUUCUAUCAUGGGAAAGUCGUCAAUGAUUUAAAAUAUGAAGGAGCUGCCAAAUAGUAAUCCACCAAAAGAUCAGGUGGUCCGCAAAGGAUCUGAUGUGAAUAUCAGUACUCAACCAGAAGAAGAAGGAAUGCAAAGUAAUCGGUUUAUGGAAACAUCUGAAUAAGCCGAAGCUUGAAUACGAAGGGUUUACGAUCCCAAAAUCGGGGGAUCAGAGGCAGAGGCUCUGAUAAAAAAAGAUGAGUAUGUUGAAUAGAAUUAGAUGGCCAAUCAAUCAAGGAUUGAUUUACCGAGAACCAGCUCAUAUCCAGAAUGAUGUCUGAGCCGGAAAAGAUGAAUUCUAGGAAUCGACGGAUGAAAGGGAUUAUUCUUAUUCAUAUUGAAUCAAUAGACUCGGAAUGACAAUGACAAGGAAUGCUAAUGAAUAUUGCGAUACAUAUGGAUGUAUCCAUAAAGCAGGCUGACAAGACCUUCGGGAGCAAUAGGCUGCGGACGAUCUUCAGGAGAUUGAAUAGCAUUUUGAAGAAUUUCGUGAGACAUAUGAUCAACUGGGGAUGAACGAAUCCCCGAUAAGAGUGAGGAAUUAUUCGUAGGGUUAUUCAGGAGGAAAAGAGCUACAAGGCAGUCGGAAAAAGGAUUCUCGAAAGUCGGAGAAUACUUUCCGGUAUCUUGCAAUAACAAGAACAACUAGGGAUGGAAGUAUGAAUGGCGAGGGUACGUAGUUAUCCAUAAGGAUUCAACGGUGUUAAGGGAUUGCAAAAGAAAUGAACACAAGUUCUGGGGAAUAGAUCGGAGAGUAUCUUCGAAGUCUUCUAGUGAAGCAGGUGAUCAUCUGUAGUGAAGGGGCUCUCCGGGAGGAAGUGGUUACGAGAUCCUAGAGUCAGAGUUAGUAAAAUCUUUAACCCGAAUAGACGAGAGAUCAGAGUCCCAGAGUAUAGACGAGGAAUAAAAAGAUCCUAAUACCACCCAAUGGCAACGUGGGUCCGUAAGACACACAACCAAUGUUACUAAAAGUUUUUCAGUGACUAGACUCAACUUCGGCCAAGGAGUUGGAAAGGGGGCUACCUACAGGCAGUCGGCUCUGAUACCAACUUGUGACGCCCUUGAUUCAAUCAUACACUAAUCAUACACACAAAUGUGUACGAUCAAGAUCAAGGACUCAUGGGAAGAUAUCACAACACAACUUUAGACACAAAUUAAAAUAAUACAAGCUUUAUAUUACAAGCCAGGGGCCUCGAGGGCUCGAAUACAUAAGCUCGAUUACACAAGAGUCAGCGGAAGCAACAAUAUCUGAGUACAGACAUAGGUUAGACAAGUUUGCCUUAAGAAGGCUAGCACAAAAGCAACAUUGAUCGAAAAGGCAAGGCCUCCUGCCUGGGAGCCUCCUAACUACUCCUGGUCGUCGGCGGUCUCCAUGUAGUAGUAGGCAUCGGCGGUGGCAUCUGGCUCCUGGGCUCCGACAUCUGGUCGCAUCAACCGGAAAGAAGAAGAAAGGGGGAAAGGGGGAGC